GUGGCGGACGGGUGAGUAACGCGUGGGAACAUACCCAAAGGUACGGAAUAGCCUCGGGAAACUGGGAGUAAUACCGUAUGUGCCUUCGGGGGAAAGAUUUAUCGCCUUUGGAUUGGCCCGCGUUGGAUUAGGUAGUUGGUGGGGUAAUGGCCUACCAAGCCGACGAUCCAUAGCUGGUUUGAGAGGAUGAUCAGCCACACUGGGACUGAGACACGGCCCAGACUCCUACGGGAGGCAGCAGUGGGGAAUCUUAGACAAUGGGCGCAAGCCUGAUCUAGCCAUGCCGCGUGAUCGAUGAAGGCCUUAGGGUUGUAAAGAUCUUUCAGAUGGGAAGAUAAUGACGGUACCAUCAGAAGAAGCCCCGGCUAACUCCGUGCCAGCAGCCGCGGUAAUACGGAGGGGGCUAGCGUUAUUCGGAAUUACUGGGCGUAAAGCGCACGUAGGCGGAUCAGAAAGUCAGAGGUGAAAUCCCAGGGCUCAACCUUGGAACUGCCUUUGAAACUCCUGGUCUUGAGUUCGAGAGAGGUGAGUGGAAUUCCGAGUGUAGAGGUGAAAUUCG
This 559-nucleotide ribosomal RNA is filed under the name uncultured Alphaproteobacteria bacterium. RNAcentral describes it as "bacterial SSU rRNA". It matches the Rfam family "Bacterial small subunit ribosomal RNA", at positions 95 to 690 of the family's 1533-position model. Lineage: Bacteria; Pseudomonadati; Pseudomonadota; Alphaproteobacteria. The record is from RNAcentral.